This 382-nucleotide ribosomal RNA is filed under the name uncultured eukaryote. RNAcentral describes it as "partial 18S ribosomal RNA". It matches the Rfam family "Eukaryotic small subunit ribosomal RNA", at positions 592 to 976 of the family's 1831-position model. The record is from RNAcentral.
UGUAAGCGUAUACCAAAGUUGUUGCAGUUAAAACGCUCGUAGUCGGAAUUUGGCAGUUCCGGAUGUGUGCACGUCGUGUGCGCACUUCGCGGGGAUUGCUUUUGUGGUCUUGCGUAGGAUGAGGCACUUUUAUUAGUGAACGUCCUCACGCAACCACUUUUUACUGUGAGAAAAUCAGAGUGCUCAAAGCAGGUAUUUGCCGUGAAUGUAUUAGCAUGGAAUAAUAGAAUAGGACUCGGUUCUAUUUUGUUGGUUUGUUGGGACUGAGUAAUGAUUAAGAGGGACAGUUGGGGGCAUUUGUAUUUCGGCGCUAGAGGUGAAAUUCUUAGAUUGCCGAAAGACAAACUGCUGCGAAAGCGUCUGCCAAGGAUGUUUUCAUUGA